GGAGGUGUAGCUCAGUGGUAGAGUGUGUACCUAGCACGCACAAGGUCCUGGGUUCAGUCCCCACUGCCUUCA
This 72-nucleotide transfer RNA is filed under the name Camelus bactrianus (Bactrian camel). It matches the Rfam family "tRNA". From Rfam's summary of the family: Transfer RNA (tRNA) molecules are approximately 80 nucleotides in length. Their secondary structure includes four short double-helical elements and three loops (D, anti-codon, and T loops). The record is from Rfam by way of RNAcentral. Lineage: Eukaryota; Metazoa; Chordata; Mammalia; Artiodactyla; Camelidae. RNAcentral also lists the same sequence under 2 other names.